Molecule: ribosomal RNA, 616 nt
Filed under: Escherichia coli
Lineage: Bacteria; Pseudomonadati; Pseudomonadota; Gammaproteobacteria; Enterobacterales; Enterobacteriaceae
Description: bacterial SSU rRNA
Rfam family: Bacterial small subunit ribosomal RNA
Source: RNAcentral
CAGGAAACAGCUUGCUGCUUCGCUGACGAGUGGCGGACGGGUGAGUAAUGUCUGGGAAACUGCCUGAUGGAGGGGGAUAACUACUGGAAACGGUAGCUAAUACCGCAUAACGUCGCAAGACCAAAGAGGGGGACCUUCGGGCCUCUUGCCAUCGGAUGUGCCCAGAUGGGAUUAGCUAGUAGGUGGGGUAACGGCUCACCUAGGCGACGAUCCCUAGCUGGUCUGAGAGGAUGACCAGCCACACUGGAACUGAGACACGGUCCAGACUCCUACGGGAGGCAGCAGUGGGGAAUAUUGCACAAUGGGCGCAAGCCUGAUGCAGCCAUGCCGCGUGUAUGAAGAAGGCCUUCGGGUUGUAAAGUACUUUCAGCGGGGAGGAAGGGAGUAAAGUUAAUACCUUUGCUCAUUGACGUUACCCGCAGAAGAAGCACCGGCUAACUCCGUGCCAGCAGCCGCGGUAAUACGGAGGGUGCAAGCGUUAAUCGGAAUUACUGGGCGUAAAGCGCACGCAGGCGGUUUGUUAAGUCAGAUGUGAAAUCCCCGGGCUCAACCUGGGAACUGCAUCUGAUACUGGCAAGCUUGAGUCUCGUAGAGGGGGGUAGAAUUCCAUGUGUAG